GUAGUCCACGCCGUAAACGAUGGAUACUAGCUGUUGGAGGUAUCGACCCCUUCAGUAGCGAANGCUAACGCGUUAAGUAUCCCGCCUGUGGAGUACGGUCGCAAGACUAAAACAUAAAGGAAUUGACGGGGACCCGCACAAGCGGUGGAUCAUGUUCUUUAAUUCGAUGCUAAACGAAGAACCUUACCAGGGCUUGACAUCCUUGGAAUUUCUCCGAAAGGAGAGAGUGCUUUAUUGAACCAAGUGACAGAUGAUGCAUGGCCGUCGUCAGCUCGUGUCGUGAGAUGUUUGGUUAAGUCCAUCAACGAGCGCAACCCUUGUGAUUAGUUGUAUUUUUCUAAUCAUACUGCCCCGGAAACGGGGAGGAAGGAGGGGAUGAGGUCAGGUCAGUAUUUCUCUUACGUCCUGGGCUAGAAACGUGAUACAAUGGCUGGUACAAUGCGCCGCGAAGCCGCGAGGUGAAGCAAAUCGCACCAAAGCCAGUCCCAGUUCGGAUUGGAGGCUGAAACUCGCCUCCAUGAAGUCAGAAUCGCUAGUAAUCGCAGGUCAGCAAACUGCGGUGAAUACGUUCCCGGGUCUUGUACACACCGCCCGUCAAACCAUGAAAGUGACCAACACCCGAAGUCCGAUUCGUCGGCCUAAGGUGGGGGGCAUGAUUGGGGUU
RNAcentral lists this ribosomal RNA (664 nucleotides) under uncultured Candidatus Saccharibacteria bacterium. RNAcentral's name for it is "bacterial SSU rRNA". It matches the Rfam family "Bacterial small subunit ribosomal RNA", at positions 790 to 1482 of the family's 1533-position model. The record is from RNAcentral. Lineage: Bacteria; Candidatus Saccharimonadota.